Molecule: ribosomal RNA, 412 nt
Filed under: Verrucomicrobiota bacterium
Lineage: Bacteria; Pseudomonadati; Verrucomicrobiota
Description: Verrucomicrobia bacterium partial 16S ribosomal RNA
Rfam family: Bacterial small subunit ribosomal RNA
Source: RNAcentral
UGGGGAAUAUUGCGCAAUGGGGGAAACCCUGACGCAGCGACGCCGCGUGCGGGAUGAAGGCCUUCGGGUUGUAAACCGCUUUUGAUUGGGAGCAAGCCUUUUGGGUGAGUGUACCUUUCGAAUAAGCGCCGGCUAACUACGUGCCAGCAGCCGCGGUAAUACGUAGGGCGCAAGCGUUAUCCGGAAUUAUUGGGCGUAAAGGGCUUGUAGGCGGUUGGCCGCGUCUGCCGUGAAAUCCUCUGGCUUAACUGGGGGCGUGCGGUGGGUACGGGUUGACUUGAGUGCGGUAGGGGAGACUGGAAUUCCUGGUGUAGCGGUGGAAUGCGCAGAUAUCAGGAGGAACACCGGUGGCGAAGGCGGGUCUCUGGGCCGUUACUGACGCUGAGGAGCGAAAGCGUGGGGAGCGAACAGG